UCCAUUUUUCAUAUAAAUUGGACGAUACAGCCAAUCAUUUACUUUCAUAAAAAACUAUCUUAAGAAAACCAAUUCUUCUCUUGUUGCAUAAUUCCCUUCCCCACAUCAUGUCUACGAAGAGUGUAUUUUUUCUCCUAUCGGUUAUAUGCUUUACAAAUUCUGUGAAUGCUCAAUUACCUUCGUUUUGGCCUAACGUGACCCAAUGCCUAUCAACAUUGAAAAAUAUUCCGGGAUGUUUUGAAGGGAUCACUCAGUCUAUAUUGACUGGUAAAAUUGGUACGAUAACUCCUUAUUGUUGUCAACUUUUUUUGGGAGCUGUACCCGACUGUUUAGAACUACUUCCUGUCAAUCCUUUUCCUCCUAUGUUAAUGCAGAAAUGCUCCCAUAAUAUUUAAGAUUAUAUUUUAAAAUAGUUAUGUAAAAUUACAUUUUCUACAUAAGGGUUAAAUCCAAUAAUAUUCAAGAACAAAAAGAAGAUCUGAUAAUUCUAAUGUUCCUUUCUUAUAUUUUAGUGUCUGUAGCUUUCAUAUAAUAAUGCUUAUUAUUAUUUGAUUAAGAGAAUAUCCUUUUAAUAUCAAAAAUAUAUAUCAAUGAAGUUUAAGAAUAUGAUAAAUAUAAUUCCAAAGACAUGUCACUGAGGUUGGUUAAUGAAUGAAUCAUUUGUCUUUCUUUUCCAAAGUUGGUUAAUGAAUGAAUCAUUUGUCUUUCUUUUCCAACUUCAGUUUUCUAAUAACAUGACAAAAAAAAUUGACAACGAUUAAAAGUAGAGAAAAUAAAAGAGAAACUAGAUAGAUACGUUUUUUUUAACUUCAGUUUUCUAAUAACAUGACAAAAAAAAUUGACAAUGAUUAAAAGUAGAGAAAAUAAAAGAGAAACUAGAUAGAUACGUUUUUUUCUAACGCUGAUUUAUUAUGAUAUUACAAUUAUAAUAUAAGAAAGAUUACAUAGACGAUUCGACAACCGAUGAUAUUACCUGCUUCAUGAGUACUUACGCAUAACUGCAUCACCUGAGCCACCUAUGAAAAUCCACGUCUGACCAGAUUUAGUUGCACCAUGUUGAAGAUCAUUUGUAAGCAUUUCUUCCGUAGUCUGCAUAAUUAUUUAAUAAAUCGCUCUCUCCGGAACUUGAAACCUGGAUUUCAUGUAAUCAGUGAAAAAAAUGUAUAGUCAGGGAUUAGAUCCCCAGACCUAGAUGUAGAAACUUUUAAACUUUAACCAGUAGGCUACGGUGUUUCCACGAUAGAUGGAUCUAACACAAGUAUUUUUGUCACACUCUUUGUGUAGUUGCGAUAUAGCUGGCGGAGAUUGCCACACCCAGUAGAAGACAAACUUCAAAAUCGCUCAUCACACCUAUUUGGUCCAUAAGUUUCCGAUAGCAAGUCUAAUUUUUCAUCUAUAAUACCGCAAACACAUCCAUUAUACUUACCAAAUUAUACAAAAUUUACUUGACUGAUAUGAAUAUAUAUCUCGCAAGCACAAAAAGCCAGCAACAUACAUUUCAAGGAAACAUAAACUUCGUAGUUUGUGGGAGUAAAGGCAUCUAUGUUGUAAUAAAAAACCUAACCACAAUCAGAGCCGGACCUGAGAUUACGAGACUCAUCUAAAAAAAUACAAUUUUAUUUUUAAUAUGAAGACAUAAAUUUUAUAUUAAUUGAUAUAAAGAUGUCUAUUCAUUAGGUCAAUCACAAAUUUUAAUUUUUUUUAUUACAACUAAUUUUAACCGAACAUCACCAAAUUUCUUCAAAAUUACAAUAAUAAUAUCCACUAAGCAUUAUUUGAGAAGUAAUUUGACACAUAUUCUUUCUACAAUUAUUUUCAUAAAAGAAAUGUGACAUGACUAUUAAAAUUGAUGACAAGGCUUAUUGCUAAAUAUGACAUUAUAAAUUACAUUAAUUAUUGAUUUAUAUUUUUAGUAAAUCUUUUAUAAUAUAUAUGAUAAUAACUCAUACAUUAGAUUUAAUGUUGAUUUAUAUUUUUGGUAAUUUUUUUAGAAUAUGACAAUAACUCAUACUUUUUUGUCAACAAUAAUAACUCAUACAUCAUUACUAAAAUAAAUAUAUUCAAAUAUGAAAUUAUAAUUUUUGAAAUAUUAUUCAAUUAUAUAUUUUAUAAUUUCUACAAUUUUGCUUAAAACAUUAUAAAUUUUAAUCAUUAAAUCAUUAGUUUCCUUAUAUAUUUAGAAAUUUUAGAAAUGCUGUUUAAUUUUAAUUUUUGAUAAUUAUACAAUUUUAUAUCAAUUUUUUUAUUAAUUUUAUGCAAGUUGAUUUAAUAUAUUUAACCAAAAGAAAUAGAUAAAAAAAUCUAUCUAAGAUUAUAUAUAUAUAUAUAUAUGCAUUCUUAAAUAUAAUUUAAAAAUAAUAAAUUAUUUUUAAAUCUAUUUCAUGUUUAAUUAAAUCAAAUUUACAUUAAAAUAUUGAUAAGAAAAUAAUAAAAUUUACAUUAUUAAUAAAAUUUUAUUUUUAAAUAUAAUUUCAAUUUAAAUUUUUUAUUGAUGCACAUGGUGCAUGAAAACACUUACUAUAAUAAUACAUUUGCUAAAUAAAUUUAACUCUUAUCUUCCAAAAAGAAAACAAAUCUAAGUUAUUAUUAUGAUCAAACAGAAAUUCUUACACUCACAUAUCACAUUCACACAGGUUCAAAGAGAAGAAAAAAAAAGGAUUCAAAAGAAAAAAGCAAUGCAUGAGUCAUAUACAUAUUUAAAAUAUUAAUUAUGUAAGUUAUAAUUCAUGCUUAUUAUAUGAUAUUGACAUUAAAAAAUAUUUGGAUUCACUUUAAGUUCUAUUUUAAGGCAAUACUCUACGCGGUAGUUAUUAACUAAUAAAAUCAUGGUAACGUACCACAGUGCGGAUAGGUAGCAAAAGUUAUAAAGCUUAUCCACUGUGGAAAAUUCUGAGUUUCUUCUGUUUCUUUGAUUAAGGAGAUCUCUAUGCAACUUUUCCUCAAAUUAUUAAUUUAUACAUUUUGUUUUUUGAAAAAAUGUUAAAUUAAUUCAAACAAAAAAUACUGUUUACAAUCAAGGUUGCUUGUUUUAAGUUCAAAAGAAACUAAAACUUUGCUUUACAUUAGAAAAUAAGAUCAUGUAAAGGAGAACCAAGUUCCCAUAGCAUAGAUCCCUGGUAAGCUGAGUUGUGGCGACAUAUGAUGCUUGAGAUACGAUUUUGAACUUGUUUGUCGAUGAUUUUUAAUUUAUGAAAUUACAUCACAUGUGAACAUAUAAAGUGAAUUUCAGCUAUUCGGAUAUGGACAUAUCUAUAUAUAUCUCUUAGAAUAUAUUCUCACUAAUUUGCAUAUAUCUUAUAAAUCUAGUUUAGGAAUGAAAACCUUGUAUAAAGAGAAUGUCUUGGACCUAAAGAUUGAUACAGAAAACCUUUUACGAUACUCUUGUUUUCUGACAUAGCAUCAGAGCCAGGUUUUCUGACAUGGUAUCUUGUUAAAAUUUACACAAUUAAAAUAAGUACAUGAACCCAAACCUGAACUGAACCUGCAAUGAUCCAAACCAUAUUCAAACCGAAAUUUGUAAAUAUUUAAAUCAUAUUUAAAUUUCUAACUAUAAAAAACUGAUAUCUGAAUAGAUUAACUAAAUUCGAAUAGAUAUCUGAUUCUAGAAAAAAAUAUCAACAAAUCUCUUAUUACAAGCAAAGUAAAUAAUUUAAUCAAUUAUUUUAUUCUGCGCACAACGCGGAUUACUAUCUAGUUUAUAAGAAAAAUGGUGAAGAGAUUCUAAACAUAAAGCGUGCAAAAAAAACUUAUAUGAGUAUUAUGAUAAAGAUUUCUUAACACAUUUGUGCAUGGUCAAUACUGAAUAGUAUAGAUUGUUUCUAUUAUUAUAUCAAUCUCGCAUGUGGUCAAUUAGUAUAUUUUCUUUCCUAUUAUUAUUGUAUCGAUAUUAUAUGUGUCAAUAGUAUAUAUUCUCUUUCCUAUUAUCAUUGUUUUUAUUAAUUGUAUCAUACUCCAUUUUUCAUAUAAAUUGGACGAUACAGCCAAUCAUUUACUUUCAUAAAAAACUAUCUUAAGAAAACCAAGUCUUCUCUUGUUGCAUAAUUCCCUUCCCCACAUCAUGUCUAUGAAGAGUGUAUUUUUUCUCCUAUCGGUUAUAUGCUUUGCAAAUUCUGUGAAUGCUCAAUUACCUUCGUUUUGGCCUAACGUGACCCAAUGCCUAUCAACAUUGAAAAAUAUUUCGGGAUGUUUUGAAGGGAUCACUCAGUCUAUAUUGACUGGUAAAAUUGGUACGAUAACUCCUUAUUGUUGUAGACUUUUUUUGGGAGCUGUACCCGACUGUUUAGAACUACUUCCUGUCAAUCCUUUUCCUCCUAUGUUAAUGCAGAAAUGCUCCCAUAAUAUUUAAGAUUAUAUUUUAAAAUAGUUAUGUAAAAUUACAUUUUCUACAUAAAGGUUAAAUCCAAUAAUAUUCAAGAACAAAAGGAAGAUCUGAUAAUUCUAAUGUUCCUUUCUUAUAUUUUAGUCUAUGUAGCUUUCAUAUAAUAAUGCUUAUUAUUAUUUGAUUAAGAGGAUAUCCUUUUAAUAUCAAAAAUGUAUAUCAAUGAAGUUUAAGAAUAUGAUUAAUAUAAUUUCAAAGACAUGUCACUGAGGUUGGUUAAUGAAAGAAUCAUUUCUCUUUUUUUUUACCAACUUCAGUUUUCUAAUAACAUGACAAAACAAAAAUGACAACGAUUAAAAAAUAGAGAAACUAGAUAGAUAGGAUUUUUUUUUAACGCUGGUUUAUUAUGAUAUUACAAUUAUAAUAUAAGAAAGAUUACAUAGACGAUUCAAUAACUGACAAUACCACCUGCCUACUUACGCAUAAUUGCAUCACCUGAGCCGCGUAUGGAAAUCCACGUCUGACCAGAUUUACUUGCACAAUGUUAAAGAUCAUUUGUAAGUAUUUCUUUCAUAGUCUACAUAAUUGUUUAAUAAAUUGCUUUCUCCAGAAUUUGAAACCUGAAUUUUAUGUAAUCUGUAAAAAAUUGUAUAGUCAGGGAUUAGAUCUUCAGACUUGGAUAUAGAAACUUUUAAACUUUAACCAGCGGGCUACGGUGUUUCUAUGAUAAAUAGGUCUAAGACAAGUAUUUUUGUCACACUCUUUGUGUAAUUGCGAUAUAGCUGGCGGAGAUUUCCACACCUUAGAAGACAAACUUCAAAAUCGCUCAUCACACCUAUUUGGUCCAUAAGUUUCCGAUAGCAAGUCUAAUUUUUCAUUUAUAAUACCGCAAACACAUCCAUUAUACUUACCAAAUUAUACAAAAUUUACUUGACUGAUAUGAAUAUAUAUCUCGCAAGCACAAAGAACCAGCAACAUACAUUUCAAGGAAAACCUAACCACAAUCAGAGCCCGGACCUGAGAUUACGAGACUCAUCUAAAAAAAUACAAUUUUAUUUUUAAUAUGAAGACAUAAAUUUUAUAUUAAUUGAUAUAAAGAUGUCUAUUCAUUAGGUCAGUCACAAAUUUUAAUCUUUUUUGUUAUAGCUAAUUUUAACUGAACAUCACCAAAUUUCUUCAAAAUUACAAUAAUAAUAUCCACUAGACAUUAUUUGAGAAGUGAUUUGACACAUGUUCUCUCUACAAUUAUUUUCAUAAAAGAAAUGUGACUUGACUACUAAAAUUGAUGACAAUGUUUAUUGCUAAAUAUGACAUUAUAAAUUACAUUAAUUAUUGAUUUAUAUUUUUAGUAAAUCUUUUAUAAUAUGAUAAUAACUCAUACAUUACAUUUAAUAUUGAUUUAUAUUUUUGGUAAAUUUUUUAGAAUAUGACAAUAACUCAUACCUUUUUGUCAACAAUAAUAACUCAUACAUCAUUACUAAAAUAAAAAAAUUCAAAUAUGAAAUUAUAAUUUUUGAAAUAUUAUUCAAUUAUAUUUUUUUAUAUUUUCUACAAUUUUGCUUAAAACAUUAUAAAUUUUAGAAAUACUGUUUAAUUUUAAUUUUUGAUAAUUAUACAAUUUUAUAUCAAUUUUUUAUUAAUUUUAUGCAAGUUGAUUUAAUAUAUUUAACCAAAAGAAAUAUAUAAAAAUAUCUAUCUAAUAUUAUAUAUAUAUAUGCAUUCUUAAAUAUAUUUUAAAAAUAAUAAAUUAUUUUUAAUUCUGUUUCAUGUUUAACUAAAUCAAAUUUACAUUAAAAUAUUGAUAAGAAAAUAAUAAAAUUUACAUUAUUAAUAAAAUUUUAUUUUUAAAUAUAAUUUCAAUUUAAAUUUUUUAUUGAUGCACAUGGUGCAUGAAAACACUUACUAUAAUAAUACAUUUGCUAAAUAAAUUUAACUCUUAUCUUCCAAAAAGAAAACAAAUCUAAGUUAUUAUUAUGAUCAAACAGAAAUUCUUACACUCAUAUAUCACAUUCACACAGGUUCAAAGAGAAGAAAAAAAAAGGAUUCAAAAGAAAAAAGCAAUGCAUGAGUCAUAUACAUAUUUAAAAUAUUAAUUAUGUAAGUUAUAAUUCAUGCUUAUUAUAUGAUAUUGACAUUAAAAAAUAUUUGGAUUCACUUUAAGUUCUAUUUUAAGGCAAUACUCUACGCGGUAGUUAUUAACUAAUAAAAUCAUGGUAACGUACCACAGUGCGGAUAGGUAGCAAAAGUUAUAAAGCUUAUCCACUGUGGAAAAUUCUGAGUUUCUUCUGUUUCUUUGAUUAAGGAGAUCUCUAUGCAACUUUUCCUCAAAUUAUUAAUUUAUACAUUUUGUUUUUUGAAAAAAUGUUAAAUUAAUUCAAACAAAAAAUACUGUUUACAAUCAAGGUUGCUUGUUUUAAGUUCAAAAGAAACUAAAACUUUGCUUUACAUUAGAAAAUAAGAUCAUGUAAAGGAGAACCAAGUUCCCAUAGCAUAGAUCCCUGGUAAGCUGAGUUGUGGCGACAUAUGAUGCUUGAGAUACGAUUUUGAACUUGUUUGUCGAUGAUUUUUAAUUUAUGAAAUUACAUCACAUGUGAACAUAUAAAGUGAAUUUCAGCUAUUCGGAUAUGGACAUAUCUAUAUAUAUCUCUUAGAAUAUAUUCUCACUAAUUUGCAUAUAUCUUAUAAAUCUAGUUUAGGAAUGAAAACCUUGUAUAAAGAGAAUGUCUUGGACCUAAAGAUUGAUACAGAAAACCUUUUACGAUACUCUUGUUUUCUGACAUAGCAUCAGAGCCAGGUUUUCUGACAUGGUAUCUUGUUAAAAUUUACACAAUUAAAAUAAGUACAUGAACCCAAACCUGAACUGAACCUGCAAUGAUCCAAACCAUAUUCAAACCGAAAUUUGUAAAUAUUUAAAUCAUAUUUAAAUUUCUAACUAUAAAAAACUGAUAUCUGAAUAGAUUAACUAAAUUCGAAUAGAUAUCUGAUUCUAGAAAAAAAUAUCAACAAAUCUCUUAUUACAAGCAAAGUAAAUAAUUUAAUCAAUUAUUUUAUUCUGCGCACAACGCGGAUUACUAUCUAGUUUAUAAGAAAAACGGUGAAGAGAUUCUAAACAUAAAGCGUGCGGAAAAAAAAACUUAUAUGAGUAUUAUGAUAAAGAUUUUUUAACACAUUUGAGCAUGGUCAAUACUGAAUAGUAUAGAUUGUUUCUAUUAUUAUAUCAAUCUCGCAUGUGGUCAAUUAGUAUAUUUUCUUUCCUAUUAUUAUUGUAUCAAACUAUCAAUAUUAUAUGUGUUAGUAGUAUAUAUUCUCUUUCCUAUUAUCAUUGUUUUUAUUAAUUGUUUCAUACUCCAUUUUUCAUAUAAAUUGGACGAUACAGCCAAUCAUUUACUUUCAUAAAAAACUAUCUUAAGAAAACCAAUUCUUCUCUUGUUGCAUAAUUCCCUUCCCCACAUCAUGUCUACGAAGAGUGUAUUUUUUCUCCUAUCGGUUAUAUGCUUUACAAAUUCUGUGAAUGCUCAAUUACCUUCGUUUUGGCCUAACGUGACCCAAUGCCUAUCAACAUUGAAAAAUAUUCCGGGAUGUUUUGAAGGGAUCACUCAGUCUAUAUUGACUGGUAAAAUUGGUACGAUAACUCCUUAUUGUUGUCAACUUUUUUUGGGAGCUGUACCCGACUGUUUAGAACUACUUCCUGUCAAUCCUUUUCCUCCUAUGUUAAUGCAGAAAUGCUCCCAUAAUAUUUAAGAUUAUAUUUUAAAAUAGUUAUGUAAAAUUACAUUUUCUACAUAAGGGUUAAAUCCAAUAAUAUUCAAGA
This 8129-nucleotide long non-coding RNA is filed under the name Brassica napus (rape). Its description in RNAcentral is "long non-coding RNA (BNAP_LNC023763)". Lineage: Eukaryota; Viridiplantae; Streptophyta; Magnoliopsida; Brassicales; Brassicaceae. The record is from RNAcentral.